GACAGAGGUGCCAAGCGUUAGGCGGAAUCACUGGGCUUAAAGCGUGUGUAGGCGGAUCGGUAAGUACCUUGUGAAAUCCCACAGCUUAACUGUGGAACUGCUUGGUAUACUGCCAGUCUUGAGCCACUUAGGGGCUACCGGAACAAAUGGUGGAGCGGUGAAAUGCGUAGAUAUCAUUUGGAACGCCAACGGUGAAAACAGGUAGCUGGGAGUGUGCUGACGCUGAGACACGAAAGCCAGGGGAGCAAACGGG
Molecule: ribosomal RNA, 253 nt
Filed under: uncultured bacterium
Lineage: Bacteria
Description: partial 16S ribosomal RNA
Rfam family: Bacterial small subunit ribosomal RNA
Source: RNAcentral